Molecule: long non-coding RNA, 1468 nt
Filed under: Anas platyrhynchos platyrhynchos (common mallard)
Lineage: Eukaryota; Metazoa; Chordata; Aves; Anseriformes; Anatidae
Description: lncRNA (ENSAPLG00000026495.1)
Source: RNAcentral
UAGGGUCCUAAAACGUCUUUGUCUAAAUUUAAUUCUCCACAUUUGUACUAUUUGCAGUCUUGCUUGUUGAUGUAGAUUUUAGACAACAAGAGACAUGGGAUGGGUUUCUUCGUAUACAGUGCCCAGAAAUGGGAUAUUUCUUUGCUGAACCCCUAGAUGCCAUAGUAUUACAAACAGCAAUUGUUUGCAACCUGGAUAUAAAAACAUAAUACAGCUGAGACUUUGAGUUCAUCUACUUUCAUAGAGAGUGAUAGAAGGAAAAAGGAGAAAGAAAUAUAUAUUUAUAUAUAUAUAUAUGUAUACAUAUAUAGGGUAGCUGUAAAGGGUGCAGCAGCUUGGACAGGUAGAAUAGGCAGCUCUAUCUCGAAACCCCCUUUUGCUGCCGAGAUGCUUGGAGCCGCCAGGUGCCGCUGUUGCAUCUCCCGAUCCGCCGAGCCAGGGAACUGGUGGUGGGUGCACCGAGCUGUCCCCUGGCAUGUCACAGCGCGACGUCCCCUCCUCUGCUACCGUGGCAGGGGUCUGAGGCAACGCUUUCUUCUAGAUGCAUGGGUUUCUUUCUUGACUAUGUCAAGCUGUUGAAAAAUUCCCUGGAAGGCUGCAUAGGGAAUUUAAAUACAAACAAGCAAAACAAAACUAAACACCCACCUGUUAUUGAAAUAGUCUACAUUGACUUUUUUUUUUUUUUUUUAAUUAAAAUUCAAGCUUAAGAGAGAAAUUUCCUUUCCCUGUUUGAAGAAAAUCUUUGUUGUCAUUUGUAUGUCACAGUGAUAAACGUGAUACAAAUCACUAAAUAAAUAUAAAAUUAAACAAGGGCAAGUCACUAUCCAUAAGACACUGAGAAUUUUGAAACUUUUUAGCAUGUGCAUUAUUGCUCAAUUCAUUGUUUUGUUUUUAUUUUUUAAUACAAGCAGGCGGGAUGCAAGCCUCCCCCACCUCAAGCACUACUGAAGGCCAGGAAGAAUCCUGCAGAACAGCCCAAAUGGUGUACAACAGGUCUCUUCCAACAUCUAACAUAAAUACAGAUCUCGUUUCUGAGGAACACCUAGUGCUGGUUAAAUUUAUUCUAUGUUUGAGAAUCCAGCCCAUUGCUUGUGACAUGAUAGAGAACUGGAAGAACACCCUCCAUCCGCAAACAUAUGUGAUUAAAGCAAACAGGAAGAAAGAAUAAAGUGUUUACCCCCGAGCCCUAGAUUUGAAAAGAAUGGUUUCUGGCAGGAGUCCACAAGAAGCAGAAACUGACUGAAAGAUAAAAGCCAGCACUAUUGGCAUCCGUACCAGGUACAGAAGAGGUGGAUCAGAGGCAACCAAACAGGAACAGAGACCUCCAUUUAUCUCUUGCAAUGAAACAGAAUAUAAAUGAAACUUGGCAUCAGUGUGAAAGGAUGGUUUGAUGUUAAACUGCACCAAGUCCCAAGGAAAAAAAAAUAAUUAAAAUAAAGUAAAAUAAAAUAAAAUAAAAUAAAAUAAA